Betta splendens (Siamese fighting fish) is the source of this 4203-nucleotide RNA transcript. It is a transcript of the gene named SET and MYND domain containing 3, with no coding region annotated. NCBI's taxonomy places the organism in Eukaryota, Metazoa, Chordata, Actinopteri, Anabantiformes, Osphronemidae. The transcript is spliced from 12 exons. The record is from RefSeq and is a predicted model, not a curated record.
GCGUGCGCGCGCUGCGUCUAACGCGGAUGUAAACAGUGGCUGCUGCGUGUGGGGGGAAACGCGAACAUGGCACCGAAGCUGGAGCGAGUUGUGAGCCCGGGGAAAGGGAACGGCCUGCGGGCGGCCGUCCGGCUCCGCAGGGGGGAGCUGGUGUACUCCGCGGAGCCGCUGGCGUGUUGUGUGUCCAGCAAACUGUGCGAGGACGUGUGCCACCACUGCUUCACACGGCAGGAGAAGUUGCUGAGGUGUUCCCAGUGUAAGACGGCUCGCUACUGCAAUGCCUCAUGCCAGAAACGUGCGUGGCCCGGCCAUAAGACAGAGUGUAGAUGUCUGCAGAGGCUCCUGCCCAGAACUCCCACUGACUCAGUCCGUCUGGCUGCCAGACUCGUCUUGGCCUCGCUAAGUCCAUCUAAGGGCAGAAGUGAGGAGCUCUACACUCUGGAGGAGCACGAAUCACACCUCAGUUCCAUGUCUGAGCAGAAGAAACAGGGCCUGUCUCAGCUGGCGGCCAUGUUGGAGGUGUAUCUGCAGCAGGAGGCCGAGGGCAGAGCAUCGCUGCCUUCUUCCUGCAGGGACCCCCUCAGUCUGAUCGCUAAGGUGACGUGUAAUUGUUUCACCAUCAGUGAUGGAGAGUUGCAGGAGGUUGGAGUCGGGCUGUACCCGAGCCUGUCUCUAUUAAACCAUGACUGUAGGCCAAACUGUGUGAUGGUGUUUGAGGGGACAACGCUGCACCUCAGAGCUGUUCGGGAAAUCAACCCAGAGGAGGAGCUGACUAUAAGUUACAUCGGCACGUUGCUGUUGACUGACGAGCGACGGGUCCAGCUGGAGGAGCAGUACCACUUCACCUGCCUCUGCCAGAGAUGCGAAUCCAAAGACGACGACGCCCUCAUGCUCGCUGGUGAUGAAGCCGCGUGGAUCAAGCUGAAGGAGGCCCUUCCCGGCCUGGAGGCGCUGAAGGCAGAGUGUGACUGGAGAUCUCUCUCGGAGCGAUGCUGUCGUUUGUUAUCUGCCGUCGGAGGCGACGUGCCCGAUGAAAAUCUCUACAAGCUCAGGAUGACUGACAUGGCUUUAGAUGCCUGCAUCCACCUGGGAGACUGGGAGGAGGCGCUGAGAUAUGGCAGGACGACCCUGCCAGCAUACAGGUUCCGUCUCCCUCCUCAGUACGUGAUGUGAUAGAUGCUUUGCACGCGCCCGGCUCCGCGCCGCGCUGGAUGCGACGCCGCGCGCGUCCCCGUGGCCGUCGGAACAUGCAAACGUGCGCAGCAACAAGUGUUGUGGAUCAAAAUUCACUGUUCAACCCUCAAUGACUCACAGAAGGCAGAGGUUCUCUGUCUAUAAACUCUUGGUUUUACAGUAACCUUCAGCAGGAUGUCAGCUGCAAAUCAUUGCUGCAUCGAUAUCUGUGCAGCCACAAAUCUGUGAACAAAGUUGUUUAAUUGGCAAAAAGUAAAUCUUUACAAUAUAUGACAAAGAUUAUCCAGCCGCUAAAGGUGAGCAGGUGGGUUAAUGGACGGUCAGUGCGGGAUGGGAUUAGUCCCUGAUGAAGUGUCAGGCUUAACUCUUAUUUAAAUGUCCUUUGUCCUGAUAAGCGAUGAUACGGAGGCUUCACUGUCCAACACUCGCUGCUAAUCUGUGUUUCUCUUCUACUUCCUUGAUGUUCUGCUAAAUAACAUAAUCCACGUCUGUCGCCAACAUCAGCUCUGAUCUUUUGCUCCCCAACCAGCGCUUCAUUAGUUCCACUGCGUUUGCCUGAAAAUGCUGCACUUUUCCACGACUUACUAAUUCCUCCUCCUGCUCUCGGCCCCGAGCUGCGGCGUUGACGACACUCUUUACAGUUCUAGGGCAAAAUAAGAUGUGGGAAAUCAGCAGACGGCAAGAAUAGGAAUGAUUUUAAUGUACUUUAUUUUGAUUACUGCCGUCGUUGUGGAUACUGUGUGUGUGUGUGUGUGUGUGUGUGUGUGUGUGUGUGUGUGUGUGUGUGUGUGUGUGUGUGUGUGUGUGUGUGUGUGUGUGUGUGUGUGUGUGUGUGUGUGUGUGUGUGUGUGUGUGUGUGUGUGUGUGUGUGUGUGUGUGUGUGUGUGUGUGCGCGCGUUUGGGGAACUGAAGGCACCGGUUUGUAAUUGAAUUGAUUCUGUGACUGGUUAUUAUGCAGCCAGUGGUUGUGUGUAAUGAUUCAGUGCUAACCUCUGUAAGUGCUCAGAUUAUCGGUCAACGUGAAGGCACAAACAAGUGGGCAAUUAGCGAGUGGGAAUAAUCAAAACCACAGAGUUUGAAAUGACUCCUGUAGCUGGAAGUUAAUUCACUUUGAGUUUGCUGUGUUUAGUGGCUGGUGCUGGUGGGUUUUACUGUUCAGGUGUUCAGGGUGUAUCGCUGACAGCUGGGAUGGACUCCUGCACCUCGGCUCAGGUAAUGGACGGGUUGGAGUAGAGCAAUAAUUAAGAUGAAUGCAGCAGGAGCCGAUGCCGCGCAGACUCCCUUCACCUUUUACCUUCAGCUGGGAGCUCAUUGUGUUUAAUCUGCAGAGCGGUGAAGCUGCUGGAUGCACCAGGUCACAGAGGGGGGGGCGGACUCUCACCUUAUCUCCGUAUGUUAACGCUGCCGCUGCGUAUUGACGCAACCGUGUUUACUCACAGGCCUUUUUGUUCCUGUGUGAGCGCAUCGGACCGGGCGAGACCUCACCACUCAAGCAUGUUAAAGCGAGUGGGAGAAUGGGAACAGAUAAGGUGUGUUGUGUCUGCGAGCAUCUUAACGUGCGCGUCGGGGGUGAUGUGAAACCUUUAAAGAAGCGCUUUGCGUGUGUAAUCAAGAGGGAAACGAGCAGAGGUGGAGAGGAAUAAAUGGAAAGCAUCAGAGGAGCAUCGCCAAGUUUAAUCCCUGCAGCUACUGUAGCGAGGCAAGGAGCACAAACAGAAACAGGUGGGAGAAGGGGAGAUUAGAGGGGAAGGACGGAGAGGAACACCUAGAACACAGCAAAUGAGCGUUUUGGUGUUUGCGGACAAUAAAGCUGCUUACUAGAAGCCCCCAGUGUGUUUUUAUCUUUGUAGGACCAGGACUGUCCCAGUUUUGACAGUUAUGUGUGUUUCUAUGUGUGUUUUAAACAGAGGUCACUGAGCAUCAGCGCGUCUCGUUAACAAUCCACACACCUUCGCCGACGGCGCUCGCUGCUCCUGCGUCUUUUUGAUUAAAAUCAGCGCGGCGAAAGAAACCGAGCACAGACGUGUGCACGUUCGUGUGGCGGAUAAUAAACACGAAUACACACAUGCACAAUGCACAUGAUGUGUGUGUGUGUGUGUGUGUGUGUGUGUGUGUGUGUGUUUGUCUCUGUCUCCGUCUGUGCUUUCAUCCUGGGAAACUGCGUGGCGCUUGUUGUGCCUGGUGUCGUUUUCUGGAAAGUAGUCAAAAUGCAAAAGAAAGGAAGCUGGAGACACACAGACGAGCACACGCAUCCGCAUCCCAGCAGGAGCCGUCAGCCAGAAACACAUGCAUAAUGCAAGCUUUCAAUCUCCAAAUACUGCUGUUCCUCACUCAGUGCUUGUACAUGCACACACCUGCACACAUGCACUGACCAGCAGAACAACCUGUAUUAGUCUUGUCUGUCUAAUCAUCUUGUCUUGUCCACCGUCCGUGCACUGAAUGUCGAUGCGUUGCCUCGUGCUCGACAGCGGGAGGACACACACAUGAUUGUGCCGUUGCACGUUAAGUGCAUAUUUCAUGGCUGGGAUGUAGAAAGUGCCGUAGGCAGGAGGCUGAGGAACAAUGCAGAGGUUGUUCCGACACUUCUAUUUACACUCGUAGGGAUGAUGAUGGGAUUUUGCCUGUCAUCUUGCAGAGGGCUUCUAAUCAUAUACCUCAGGGCUGUUGAAAUGAGUCAUCCAACUGGCUUUAACCAGAGGGAGAUCUGUGAGUCCUGAUGGAUCCCCCAGGAGGGGCUAAGGCAGUGGCUGGAGAACAGGUAACAGCUGGGACACUUGACCUAAGCACGGGCAAGACCGCAGCUAAUGUAUGUAGGUAUUUGGCACCUGAUUCACUCUGCUCCUCUGUUCCUGUGUUUAAGACGAUACUUCCCUGAUCCUCAUCCGGUUCACGGAGUCCAGCUGAUGAGAGUUGGAAAGCUGCAGCAUUACCUGGAGCACACCCAGGACGCACUGGACACAUUCAAACAGGCCUAUCAGAUCCUGAAGCUCACUCACGGGGGUGAUCACC